GCAUAUCAAUAAGCNNNNNNNNNNNNNNNNNNNNNNNNNNNNNUAGUAWCUGCGAGUGAAGCGGGAAAAGCUCAAAUUUAAAAUCUGGUGGCCUUCAGGUCGUCCGAGUUGUAAUUUAGAGAAGCGUCUUCCGCGCCGGACCGUGCACAAGUCUCCUGGAACGGAGCGUCGUAGAGGGUGAGAAUCCCGUCUUUGGCACGGAACCACCGGGGCUGCCGUGAUGCGCUCUCGAAGAGUCGAGUUGUUUGGGAAUGCAGCUCAAAAUGGGUGGUGAACUCCAUCUAAAGCUAAACAUUGGCGAGAGACCGAUAGCGAACAAGUACCGUGAGGGAAAGAUGAAAAGCACUUUGGAAAGAGAGUGAAACAGUACGUGAAAUUGUUGAAAGGGAAACGCUUGGGGUCAGUCGCGUCGAUCGAGACUCAGCCUCGCCUCGGCUUGGUGUAUUUCUUGGCCGACGGGCCAGCGUUGAUUUUGUCCCUCGGAUAAUGGCAAGGGAAAGGUGGCACCCUUCACGGGUGUGUUAUAGUCCCCUGUCGCAUGCGAGGGCUGGGAUCAAGGAACUCAGCACGCGCCUCUAACGGCGUCGGGGCUUCGGCCCACGUUUACGUGCUUAGGACGCUGGCGUAAUGGCUYYAAACGACCCGUCUUGAAACAC
RNAcentral lists this ribosomal RNA (656 nucleotides) under Lactifluus madagascariensis. RNAcentral's name for it is "partial 28S ribosomal RNA". It matches the Rfam family "Eukaryotic large subunit ribosomal RNA", at positions 38 to 662 of the family's 3401-position model. Lineage: Eukaryota; Fungi; Basidiomycota; Agaricomycetes; Russulales; Russulaceae. The record is from RNAcentral.